GUGGGGAAUCUUCCGCAAUGGACGAAAGUCUGACGGAGCGACGCCGCGUGAGUGAAGAAGGCCUUCGGGUCGUAAAGCUCUGUCAUCAGGGACGAACGGCCGGUGGAGUGGAAAGCCACCGGAUUGACGGUACCUGAGAAGGAAGCCACGGCUAACUACGUGCCAGCAGCCGCGGUAAUACGUAGGUGGCAAGCGUUGUCCGGAAUUAUUGGGCGUAAAGCGCGCGCAGGUGGGAUCUUAAGUCCAUUUUGAAAGUUCGGAGCUCAACUCCGUGAUGGGAUGGAAACUGGGAUUCUUGAGUACCGGAGAGGAAAGCGGAAUUCCCCGUGUAGCGGUGAAAUGCGUAGAUAUGGGGAGGAACACCAGUGGCGAAGGCGGCUUUCUGGACGGUGUCUGACACUGAGGCGCGAAAGCUAGGGGAGCGAACGGGAUUAGAUACCCGUGUAGUCC
This 450-nucleotide ribosomal RNA is filed under the name uncultured bacterium. RNAcentral describes it as "partial 16S ribosomal RNA". It matches the Rfam family "Bacterial small subunit ribosomal RNA", at positions 354 to 796 of the family's 1533-position model. The record is from RNAcentral.